CAAUAGCGUAUAUUAAAGUUGUUGCAGUUAAAAAGCUCGUAGUUGAAUUUCUGGGCGGCCCGCCGGUCUUCCAUGUGUUGUACUGGGCGGCGCCGGCCAUCCUUGUGGAGAGGGCUCGCAUUUGGUUGCGUGUCGGAUCUGCAUCAUUUACUGUGAAAAAAUUAGAGUGUUUAAAGCAGGCUGUCGCUUGAAUACAUUAGCAUGGAAUAAUAAGAUAGGACUUCGGUCUAUUUUGUUGGUUGCGAACCGAGGUAAUGAUUAAUAGGGAUAGUUGGGGGUAUUCAUAUUUAAUUGUCAGAGGUGAAAUUCUUGGAUUUAUGAAAGAGGAACAACUGCGAAAGCAUUUACCAAGGAUGUUUUCAUUAA
Molecule: ribosomal RNA, 366 nt
Filed under: uncultured eukaryote
Lineage: Eukaryota
Description: partial 18S ribosomal RNA
Rfam family: Eukaryotic small subunit ribosomal RNA
Source: RNAcentral